RNAcentral lists this ribosomal RNA (253 nucleotides) under uncultured bacterium. RNAcentral describes it as "partial 16S ribosomal RNA". It matches the Rfam family "Bacterial small subunit ribosomal RNA", at positions 524 to 776 of the family's 1533-position model. The record is from RNAcentral.
UACGAAGGGGGCUAGCGUUGCUCGGAAUCACUGGGCGUAAAGCGCACGUAGGCGGCUUCUUAAGUCAGGGGUGAAAUCCUGGAGCUCAACUCCAGAACUGCCUUUGAUACUGAGGAGCUUGAGUUCGGGAGAGGUGAGUGGAACUGCGAGUGUAGAGGUGAAAUUCGUAGAUAUUCGCAAGAACACCAGUGGCGAAGGCGGCUCACUGGCCCGAUACUGACGCUGAGGUGCGAAAGCGUGGGGAGCAAACAGG